GUGGGGAAUAUUGGGCAAUGGGCGAAAGCCUGACCCAGCAACGCCGCGUGAAGGAAGAAGGUCUUCGGAUCGUAAACUUCUAUCCUUGGUGAAGAUAAUGACGGUAGCCGAGAAGGAAGCCCCGGCUAACUACGUGCCAGCAGCCGCGGUAAUACGUAGGGGGCAAGCGUUGUCCGGAAUGAUUGGGCGUAAAGGGCGCGUAGGCGGCCCGGUAAGUCUGAAGUGAAAGUCCUGCUUUUAAGGUGGGAAUUGCUUUGGAUACUGUCGGGCUUGAGUGCAGGAGAGGUAAGCGGAAUUCCCGGUGUAGCGGUGAAAUGCGUAGAGAUCGGGAGGAACACCAGUGGCGAAGGCGGCUUACUGGACUGUAACUGACGCUGAGGCGCGAAAGUGUGGGGAGCAAACAGGAUUAGAAACCCGAGUAGUCC
Molecule: ribosomal RNA, 425 nt
Filed under: uncultured bacterium
Lineage: Bacteria
Description: partial 16S ribosomal RNA
Rfam family: Bacterial small subunit ribosomal RNA
Source: RNAcentral